AGCUUGAACAAGAUUUAGCCAACAAUGGAAAAGACCCUUCCGUAAUUGACGUGUAGUGUUAAUAUAUUUGGAGGACCUUUUGGAGUUGCAAGACGAGAAGCUUACUUCAACUAUGAGAGAACAACAACAACGGGCACUUGAGUUUUGGGAGUUGCAUUAAUGUUUGGCAUUCUGCAGUACCCCUCAAAAUAAAGCGUCUUGCUCGGGUAUUUUGUAGUAGUAUUAAGUACUUUUCGGCACAAAAUGGAAGUGGUUUUUGUUAAAUGGUUGGGCGCAAAGUUUUGUUUCUGUAAGUGGUCUUGAAUGUUGAACUAUUGGAUUGGUUACGAAGUUUGUCUCUUUAGUGUUUCCUCAGUUUUAUCCAACACUGUUUACUAUUAAUACUUUGUAUUGUUGUGGACUUGUUUAUUCAUUAAUGCAGCUAUU
This is a non-coding RNA of Nicotiana tabacum (common tobacco), 426 nucleotides long. The record is from RefSeq and is a predicted model, not a curated record. NCBI's taxonomy places the organism in Eukaryota, Viridiplantae, Streptophyta, Magnoliopsida, Solanales, Solanaceae.